This 495-nucleotide ribosomal RNA is filed under the name uncultured bacterium. Its description in RNAcentral is "partial 16S ribosomal RNA". It matches the Rfam family "Bacterial small subunit ribosomal RNA", at positions 28 to 507 of the family's 1533-position model. The record is from RNAcentral.
GACGAACGCUGGCGGCGUGCCUAAUACAUGCAAGUAGAACGCUGAAGGAGGAGCUUGCUCUUCUGGAUGAGUUGCGAACGGGUGAGUAACGCGUAGGUAACCUGCCUGGUAGCGGGGGAUAACUAUUGGAAACGAUAGCUAAUACCGCAUAACAGUAGAUGUUGCAUGACAUUUACUUAAAAGGUGCAAUUGCCUCACUACCAGAUGGACCUGCGUUGUAUUAGCUAGUUGGGGGGGUAACGGCUCACCAAGGGGACGAUACAUCGCCGACCUGAGAGGGGGAUCGGCCGCAGUGGGACUGAGACACGGCCCAGACUCCUACGGGAGGCAGCAGUAGGGAAACUUCGGCAAUGGACGGAAGUCUUACCGAGCAACGCCGCGUGAGAGAAGAAGGUUUUCGGGUCGUAAAGCUCUGUUGUAAGAGAAGAACGAGUGUGGGAGUGGAAAGUUCACUCUGUGACGGUAUCUUACCAGAAAGGGACGGCUAACUACGUG